RNAcentral lists this ribosomal RNA (460 nucleotides) under uncultured bacterium. RNAcentral's name for it is "partial 16S ribosomal RNA". It matches the Rfam family "Bacterial small subunit ribosomal RNA", at positions 338 to 795 of the family's 1533-position model. The record is from RNAcentral.
CCUACGGGUGGCAGCAGUGAGGAAUAUUGGUCAAUGGACGCAAGUCUGAACCGGCCAUGCCGCGUGCAGGAAGACGGCUCUAUGAGUUGUAAACUGCUUUUGUACGAGGGUAAACGCAGAUACGCGUAUCUGUCUGAAAGUAUCGUACGAAUAAGGAUCGGCUAACUCCGUGCCAGCCGCCGCGGUAAUACGGAGGAUUCAAGCGUUAUCCGGAUUUAUUGGGUUUAAAGGGUGCGUAGGCGGUCGGAUAAGUUAGAGGUGAAAUCCCGAGGCUCAACUUCGGAAUUGCCUCUGAUACUGUUCGGCUAGAGAGUAGUUGCGGUAGGCGGAAUGUAUGGUGUAGCGGUGAAAUGCUUAGAGAUCAUACAGAACACCGAUUGCGAAGGCAGCUUACUAAGCUACCUCUGACGUUGAGGCUCGAAAGCGUGGGGAGCAAACAGGAUUAGAUACCCGAGUAGUC